RNAcentral lists this ribosomal RNA (497 nucleotides) under uncultured bacterium. RNAcentral describes it as "partial 16S ribosomal RNA". It matches the Rfam family "Bacterial small subunit ribosomal RNA", at positions 28 to 507 of the family's 1533-position model. The record is from RNAcentral.
GAUGAACGCUGGCGGCGUGCCUAAUACAUGCAAGUCGAGCGAACAGACGAGGAGCUUGCUCCUCUGACGUUAGCGGCGGACGGGUGAGUAACACGUGUAUAACCUACCUAUAAGACUGGGAUCACUUCGGGAAACCGGAGCUAAUACCGGAUAAUAUAUUGAACCGCAUGGUUCAAUAGUGAAAGACGGUUUUGCUGGCACUUAUAGAUGGAUCCGCGCCGCAUUAGCUAGUUGGUAAGGUAACGGCUUACCAAGGCUACGAUGCGUAGCCGAACUGAGAGGCGGAUCGGCCACACUGGAACUGAGACACGGUCCAGACUCCUACGGGAGGCAGCAGUAGGGAAUCUUCGGCAAUGGGCGAAAGCUUGACGGAGCGACGCCGCGUGAGUGAUGAAGGUCUUCGGAUCGUAAAACUCUGUUAUGAGGGAAGAACAAAUGUGUAAGUAACUAUGCACGUCUUGACGGUACCUAAUCAAAAAGCCACGGCUAACUACGUG